Molecule: long non-coding RNA, 201 nt
Filed under: Brachypodium distachyon (stiff brome)
Lineage: Eukaryota; Viridiplantae; Streptophyta; Magnoliopsida; Poales; Poaceae
Description: long non-coding RNA (BDIS_LNC004673)
Source: RNAcentral
AACCUAAACCAAAUUUAUCUAUCUCCCAAAACAUUAGUUAUUUCCUCACAUGAUCCGUUCUUAUCAAUAUCAAAAUUAAUAUGUGCACUCAAAUCAUUAGAAGAAUUAAUUUUAGCAGUAGGUGCACUCGAAUCAGCAUUUACGUCAAUAAUUUCACAUGGUGCAGAAAAUUCAACAGGUAUCUCAUUUAUUUCAUCACAU